Molecule: ribosomal RNA, 308 nt
Filed under: uncultured bacterium
Lineage: Bacteria
Description: partial 16S ribosomal RNA
Rfam family: Bacterial small subunit ribosomal RNA
Source: RNAcentral
GAGACAGCAGCAGCCGCGGUAAUACAGAGGGUGCGAGCGUUAAUCGGAUUUACUGGGCGUAAAGCGUGCGUAGGCGGCUUCUUAAGUCGGAUGUGAAAUCCCUGAGCUUAACUUAGGAAUUGCAUUCGAUACUGGGAAGCUAGAGUAUGGGAGAGGAUGGUAGAAUUCCAGGUGUAGCGGUGAAAUGCGUAGAGAUCUGGAGGAAUACCGAUGGCGAAGGCAGCCAUCUGGCCUAAUACUGACGCUGAGGUACGAAAGCAUGGGGAGCAAACAGGAUUAGAUACCCCCGUAGUCCCUGUCUCUUAUAA